UAUUCUCAAUUCUUCUCGUUUCUGACGAGCAUGAAUUGGAUGUGGAGGUUUUUGCCGGUGUUGACAUCGGCUCCUCUGAAAUGCAUUAGCGUGAAUGUUUACCAAACGUUCCUCAGUGUGAUAAUUGUCUACGCUGUGGUAGUGAGGUUUCAUGAAGUUCAUGCUUCUAAUCGUCCUGCAUAGGACAACUACUUUUGAC
This 199-nucleotide unclassified non-coding RNA is filed under the name uncultured Hypochnicium. RNAcentral describes it as "partial internal transcribed spacer 2". The record is from RNAcentral. Lineage: Eukaryota; Fungi; Basidiomycota; Agaricomycetes; Corticiales; Corticiaceae.